RNAcentral lists this ribosomal RNA (254 nucleotides) under uncultured bacterium. RNAcentral's name for it is "partial 16S ribosomal RNA". It matches the Rfam family "Bacterial small subunit ribosomal RNA", at positions 524 to 776 of the family's 1533-position model. The record is from RNAcentral.
CACGUAGGGUGCGAGCGUUGUCCGGAAUUCUUGGGCGUACAGAGCUCGUAGGCGGUGUGUCGCGUCGGCCGUGAAAACCUGCAGCUUAACUGUGGGCGUGCGGUCGAUACGGGCAUCACUGGAGUUCGGCAGGGGAGACUGGAAUUCCUGGUGUAGCGGUGAAAUGCGCAGAUAUCAGGAGGAACACCGGUGGCGAAGGCGGGUCUCUGGGCCGAUACUGACGCUGAGGAGCGAAAGCGUGGGGAGCGAACAGG